RNAcentral lists this ribosomal RNA (516 nucleotides) under uncultured bacterium. RNAcentral's name for it is "bacterial SSU rRNA". It matches the Rfam family "Bacterial small subunit ribosomal RNA", at positions 46 to 518 of the family's 1533-position model. The record is from RNAcentral.
GCCUAAGACAUGCUAGUCGAACGAAGUGAACUAAUGAAGAUGGAGUGCUUGCACAAAGUCGGAUUAAAUUCACUUAGUGGCAGACGGGUGAGUAACACGUGGGUAAUCUACCCCAAAGACUGGGACAACAGUUAGAAAUGACUGCUAAUACCGGAUAAUUCAUAUUAGAUAACUAGAUAUGCUAAAAGGAGCCUUUAAAGCUUCACUUUGGGAUGAGCUUGCGGCGCAUUAGUUAGUUGGUGGGGUAAUGGCCUACCAAGACUACGAUGCGUAUCCGAGCUGAGAGGCUGAACGGACACAUUGGGACUGAGACACGGCCCAAACUCCUACGGGAGACAGCAGUUAGGAAUAUUCGUCAAUGGGGGAAACCCUGAACGAGCAAUGCCGCGUGAGUGAUGAAGGUCUUUAAUUGAUCGUAAAACUCUGUUGUAAGAGACGAAACCACAGUAUAGGAAAUGAUACUGUGCUGACGGUAUCUUACCAGAAAGCCCCGGCUAACUACGUGCCAGCAGCAGC